AAAGGGUGGCCCAAAGCCUGAUGCAACAACGCCGCGUGAGGGACGAAGGCCUUCGGGUUGUAAACCUCUUUUAGCAGGGAAGAAGCGAAAGUGACGGUACCUGCAAAAAAAGCCCCGGCUAACUACGUGCCACCAGCCGCGGUAAUACGUACGGCGCAAGCGUUGUCCGGAAUUAUUGGGCGUAAAGAGCUCGUAUGCGGUUUGUCGCGUCUGCUGUGAAAAUCCUAGGCUCAACCUCGGACCUGCAUUGGGUACGGGCAAACUAGAGUGCGGUAAGGGAGAUUGGAAUUCCUGGUGUAGCGGUGGAAUGCACAGAUAUCAGGAGGAACACCAAUGGCGAAGGCAUAUCUCUGGGCCGUAACUGACACUAAGGAACGAAAGCGUGGGGAGCGAACAGGAUUAGAUACCCUGGUAGUCCACGCCGUAAACGGUGGGAACUAGAUGUGGGGUCCGUUCCACGGAUUCCGUGUCGCAGCUAACGCAUUAACUUCC
RNAcentral lists this ribosomal RNA (492 nucleotides) under uncultured bacterium. RNAcentral describes it as "bacterial SSU rRNA". It matches the Rfam family "Bacterial small subunit ribosomal RNA", at positions 370 to 868 of the family's 1533-position model. The record is from RNAcentral.